UUCCUAAGACUACAUCUCCCAGAAUGCUGUGCUGUUCUCAAUCGUCAGACGGGUUACUGUUGCACCACGUACUGUGUUGGGUGGAAGAUUGUACGGUGGAAGCUAGGGGUCAAAAGCGCAUGCGCGUUCAAUGACGUGCUAAAACCACAGCGCCAUAUAGUGGCCUGGCAUGACAACUGCAGCUGAUUCCAGUGGCUCCAUGCUGCCUCCCAACCUCUUCUUGCUUCCAGCUGCGUGUUUACAGCGACCUAAAUGCCGUCAAACGACAGCGAGCAUCUUGGCGAGCCAGCAAGGGGCCCAGCCGUGGGCCGUCUAACCCCCAGGACCGACAGACGUCUGGUGGUGAUGCCACUCAACCCUCCCGCCAUGCGGCUCCUCCGGCAGCUGGACAGGCGCGCCAACCAGCGGGCGGCUUCUCGCAACAUGCUGGCCCUAAAAAUACACCAGUGUCCCCAGUGAUUCCUGCAGCAAACCAGUCUG
This is a long non-coding RNA of Poeciliopsis prolifica (blackstripe livebearer), 480 nucleotides long. RefSeq lists it as uncharacterized. NCBI's taxonomy places the organism in Eukaryota, Metazoa, Chordata, Actinopteri, Cyprinodontiformes, Poeciliidae. The record is from RefSeq and is a predicted model, not a curated record. The transcript is spliced from 3 exons.